AUACUUAUCUGGUGCUGGGGUAACCGUGGCCAAGAUGGCGGUACCCCCAGGGAGAGGCGUGGGCAUUGCACUGCGCUCAUGCUGACCCCUGCCACUAUCCCAAACUGGGCAGAUGGGGCAUGCAAUUUUUGGUGGGGGACUGCGUUCGCGCUCUCCCCCU
Rhipicephalus microplus (southern cattle tick) is the source of this 160-nucleotide small nuclear RNA. RefSeq annotates it as U1 spliceosomal RNA. The record is from RefSeq and is a predicted model, not a curated record. NCBI's taxonomy places the organism in Eukaryota, Metazoa, Arthropoda, Arachnida, Ixodida, Ixodidae.